This 157-nucleotide non-coding RNA is filed under the name Streptomyces natalensis. The record is from RNAcentral. Lineage: Bacteria; Bacillati; Actinomycetota; Actinomycetes; Kitasatosporales; Streptomycetaceae.
GAGCCACCCCCACAUGUAUGCUCGUGCUCGCUGUCGCCGCAGGGGAAUCCGGUGCGAAUCCGGAACUGUCCCGCAACGGUGUACGAGUGCGCCCGAUGCCCCCUACGGCCAUCCCGCGCCCUGAAGUCCGAGGACCUGCCGACAGUACGUCCGUGCC